This 1484-nucleotide ribosomal RNA is filed under the name Lacticaseibacillus casei. RNAcentral's name for it is "bacterial SSU rRNA". It matches the Rfam family "Bacterial small subunit ribosomal RNA". The record is from RNAcentral. Lineage: Bacteria; Bacillati; Bacillota; Bacilli; Lactobacillales; Lactobacillaceae.
CUGGCGGCGUGCCUAAUACAUGCAAGUCGAACGAGUUCUCGUUGAUGAUCGGUGCUUGCACCGAGAUUCAACAUGGAACGAGUGGCGGACGGGUGAGUAACACGUGGGUAACCUGCCCUUAAGUGGGGGAUAACAUUUGGAAACAGAUGCUAAUACCGCAUAGAUCCAAGAACCGCAUGGUUCUUGGCUGAAAGAUGGCGUAAGCUAUCGCUUUUGGAUGGACCCGCGGCGUAUUAGCUAGUUGGUGAGGUAAUGGCUCACCAAGGCGAUGAUACGUAGCCGAACUGAGAGGUUGAUCGGCCACAUUGGGACUGAGACACGGCCCAAACUCCUACGGGAGGCAGCAGUAGGGAAUCUUCCACAAUGGACGCAAGUCUGAUGGAGCAACGCCGCGUGAGUGAAGAAGGCUUUCGGGUCGUAAAACUCUGUUGUUGGAGAAGAAUGGUCGGCAGAGUAACUGUUGUCGGCGUGACGGUAUCCAACCAGAAAGCCACGGCUAACUACGUGCCAGCAGCCGCGGUAAUACGUAGGUGGCAAGCGUUAUCCGGAUUUAUUGGGCGUAAAGCGAGCGCAGGCGGUUUUUUAAGUCUGAUGUGAAAGCCCUCGGCUUAACCGAGGAAGCGCAUCGGAAACUGGGAAACUUGAGUGCAGAAGAGGACAGUGGAACUCCAUGUGUAGCGGUGAAAUGCGUAGAUAUAUGGAAGAACACCAGUGGCGAAGGCGGCUGUCUGGUCUGUAACUGACGCUGAGGCUCGAAAGCAUGGGUAGCGAACAGGAUUAGAUACCCUGGUAGUCCAUGCCGUAAACGAUGAAUGCUAGGUGUUGGAGGGUUUCCGCCCUUCAGUGCCGCAGCUAACGCAUUAAGCAUUCCGCCUGGGGAGUACGACCGCAAGGUUGAAACUCAAAGGAAUUGACGGGGGCCCGCACAAGCGGUGGAGCAUGUGGUUUAAUUCGAAGCAACGCGAAGAACCUUACCAGGUCUUGACAUCUUUUGAUCACCUGAGAGAUCAGGUUUCCCCUUCGGGGGCAAAAUGACAGGUGGUGCAUGGUUGUCGUCAGCUCGUGUCGUGAGAUGUUGGGUUAAGUCCCGCAACGAGCGCAACCCUUAUGACUAGUUGCCAGCAUUUAGUUGGGCACUCUAGUAAGACUGCCGGUGACAAACCGGAGGAAGGUGGGGAUGACGUCAAAUCAUCAUGCCCCUUAUGACCUGGGCUACACACGUGCUACAAUGGAUGGUACAACGAGUUGCGAGACCGCGAGGUCAAGCUAAUCUCUUAAAGCCAUUCUCAGUUCGGACUGUAGGCUGCAACUCGCCUACACGAAGUCGGAAUCGCUAGUAAUCGCGGAUCAGCACGCCGCGGUGAAUACGUUCCCGGGCCUUGUACACACCGCCCGUCACACCAUGAGAGUUUGUAACACCCGAAGCCGGUGGCGUAACCCUUUUAGGGAGCGAGCCGUCUAAGGUGGGACAAAUGAUUAGGGUG